AUGCGCUAUCUUGGCCUUCCUCUGUCUGUUAAGCGUCUCAAGAGAAUCCAUUUCCAGCAUCUUGAAGAUAAGAUCGCGGGCAAGCUCCCUUCUUGGCAAGGGAGACAUGUGGCUGCUGCAGGCCGAACGGUUCUUGUCAAGGCUGUUCUAACGGCCAUCGCAAUAUAUCAUCUCACUCCUCUUGACAUACCGGUGGAGGUCCUUCAGAAAAUUGAUAGCAUCCGCCAUGCAUAUCUUUGGGCGGGCACGGACAAGGUUUCUGGAGGGAAAUGCAAGGUAAACUGGGACCUCGCUUGCAAA
RNAcentral lists this ribosomal RNA (300 nucleotides) under Triticum aestivum (bread wheat). Its description in RNAcentral is "partial small subunit ribosomal RNA". Lineage: Eukaryota; Viridiplantae; Streptophyta; Magnoliopsida; Poales; Poaceae. The record is from RNAcentral.